This 83-nucleotide ribosomal RNA is filed under the name Elaeagnus angustifolia (Russian olive). RNAcentral describes it as "partial 5.8S ribosomal RNA". The record is from RNAcentral. Lineage: Eukaryota; Viridiplantae; Streptophyta; Magnoliopsida; Rosales; Elaeagnaceae.
UGGAGAAUCCUGGGCCCCAGAGUGUCUUUGACACAAGUUGCGCCCGAAGCCAUCCGGUUGAGGGCACGUCUGCCUGGGCGUCA